Molecule: long non-coding RNA, 425 nt
Filed under: Elaeis guineensis (African oil palm)
Lineage: Eukaryota; Viridiplantae; Streptophyta; Magnoliopsida; Arecales; Arecaceae
Description: long non-coding RNA (EGUI_LNC012537)
Source: RNAcentral
UGGACCCCCAGCUUCUUGCUUGUCUUCUCCGAAGGUCAUGACUACCGUUGAUAGGCCAAUGAUCAGAGAAAAUUCAAAGAAAGGGGCGGUUCUCUAUUUUUUUGAAGUUGUAUGGUUUCUUUUGUUAGCCGACCGCUUGCCGCCGGCCCUCCUUUACUCCACCGCCGUCGGUCACUUGCUAUCAUGGUUUGCUGGCGGUCUUCCGACCAAGAACCACCACCCAUAUCCCUCCUUUGCUUAGCCAAGAAAAAGAAGAAGAAAAGAAAAGAAGAAGAGAAGAAAAGUAAAGAAAAGAAAAAGGAAAGAAAGAGAAGGGAUCUCUCUCUUGUCUCUCUCUCUUCUAUAGGAUUUUUCUCUUUGCACCAUCUUUCUCUCUUUACUUGAUCCAUGAACCCCAAUAUAAACUCAAAAUAAUUUUUAUAAAG